Xiphophorus couchianus (Monterrey platyfish) is the source of this 2126-nucleotide long non-coding RNA. RefSeq lists it as uncharacterized. The transcript has 2 exons. The record is from RefSeq and is a predicted model, not a curated record. NCBI's taxonomy places the organism in Eukaryota, Metazoa, Chordata, Actinopteri, Cyprinodontiformes, Poeciliidae.
AACUGUAUAACUUGGGUAAAACAGUUUGGGUUUCCAUCCACAAGAUUCUGACAAUAGUUCUGUCCCAUUCCUCCUGACAGAACUGGCUUAACUCAGUCAGGUCUGUAGGCCACCCUGCUCUUUCAUGCCUUUUCAGACCUGCCCACAAUUUCUCCAUAGGGUUGAGAUUAGGCCUUUUUGAUGGAGACAGAAAAACAUUAACUUUGUUGUCUUGAAACCACUUUGUAACCUCUGGAACUCUGGAAGAAUCCCUGCCCAAGUUUGAACUUUCUGGCUGAUGUCUUCAGUUGCUGUUUCAAUAAUUCUACAUAAUAUUCUUUCCUCAUGGUGUUACCUAUUUUAUGAAGCCCACUAGUUCCUCCUGCCGCUAAACCAGUCCUAUAACAUGAUGCCGCCACCACCAUACUUCACAGUUAGGAUGGUGCAAGUAUCCCUGUUCUUCCACCAAAUGUAACAAUGGUCAUUGUGGCAAUCAAACCACAGGACAUGUCUCCAAAACUGAUCUAUGUGUCUGUGCUUUUGCAAACUGUAAUCUGGCUGUUUUACAUGUGUUUUGGAUUAAUGGCUUCCUCUGCACUGAGUGGCCUUUCAGUCAAUGUUGGUACAGGACAUGUCUCACUAGCUUCGACUAGCAUCUUCACAAGGUCUUUGGCUUUUGUUCUGGGGUCAAUCUGCAUAUUUCGAAUCAAAAUACAUGUAUCUCUGGGACACAGAAUCAAUCUCCAUCCUGAGAGCUAUGACAGACAUUCCCAUCGUGUCUAUGCUUGCAUGUAAUUGUUUGAACACAUAAAUGCGGCGCCUUCAAGCAUCCCCCGAGGGAUAAACCAGAGUUGUUCAGCUUCAAAAUUCUCUUCCUGAUAUCUUAGCUGAGUUUCUUUAACUUUCAAGUCUUGUCAAACAACAAAGCAGUUUGUUCCAGGUGUGGCCCUAAAAAUACAUCCACAGGUCAGCCUUCAAUUUACUCACGUGUGUCAGUUAACCUAUCAGAAGUUUCCAAAGCCGUGACAUCAGCACCUUGGCUUUCCCUUGUUGCUUAGCCCCUUAACUGUCACCCUCAAAAUGCUUACAAGUAAGCCAAUGUGUCCAUGAGGACAUUGGUGUCAUCAUUCAUGACAGUUAAGAGGGUUAAAGAGUCAGCAAUCAUAUUGUAUGUAAACUCAUGAUUUUGAAGAUAUUAAUAAUUGAAUCUCUCUCAUUUUGUGUCUUUUUAUUCAGUGUACGUAAACUCCUGGUUUCCACUGUAAGAGAAAGAAAUCAGCGAUGGUCAGCGUCUGCGUGUUGACGGACAGAAGGCACGCUAUCCUGCAAUGCAACGAAUCAGCCACAAGGAGGGACUGCAGUAUGAGUAAAUCACCACAGCAGGUACAUGUUGCAGGACCAACAGACUUGUGGGGCCCAAAGGAGGAGCAUGACUGAUAAAAGAGUCCGGCGUGGGAGUGCUAGUAAACAGGUGGCAGAUGUAGCAGAAUCCAGGAGGGUGCGGGAGGGGGAGAGGAAAGACGAAAGAGAAGAACAGCAUAAUUCGAUACCAGCCUGCAGAGAGGACAGCAAGGGAUGAGGGAGGCGGCCAAGAACGAGGGAAUAUGCUACAUGUAGGGCGGGGGCUCAUUUAGGAAUGAUUGCUGUGAGCCUCCAGCAUACACUUGUGCCUGUCCAAACAUUUAUCUUGUCACACAACCCGACAGAAAUAUUCAGAGAAGAAGCACAGAGGACUUCAGGUGUGAUUACCUUAAUAACCUUUAAUUUAAAAAUAAUAAUAAUAAAUAAACAUUUUUUGCAGUACAAGAUUUAAUGACAAUGACUUCCAAAGAAUAAAAAUGCCACAACUGAUCAUUCAUAAUUUAAAGUCGUGUAAAAAGAGAAAACGUUUCACCUGAAUGUUGGCACUGAAGGUGCUAAACAUCCAUAAAGUGUGUCGUAACCCUUCAUAAAUGCAAUAAACUGCAUGUAGACAGCAGCUUGUACAUUACACAAACAGCAUUGUUAUUUACAGAGUUCUCCACACAAAUUGCCCUAUAACCCCUUACCCAGCAAGGGUAGGAUUGGGAAAAAAAACAAACAAACAAAAAAAAACUUAAAAUAAAUUCUUAUUUUAAUGUUGCACCAUAAUCUCUCUCACACACACA